GACAGGUGUGGCUUCUUCUGAGUGCCCUCUGACCUCGAAGUCAUCUUAUCACGCUGACGAAGCCUGGCGAAACACAGGGCGUGUCUUAGAGAGCUAAGACUUUGUUGUCUUGUCUUGGACACGUAAUGUCUUAAAGUUUAUGGAUUGAGGAAAACAGGGAGGGCGGAAGAAAGAAAAGGAACAUGCGGAGAACCAUGCGCCUGCGCACUGUGCUGUGUAUCUUUGCCGUGUCAGCUCUGGUCGGCGUGUCGUUUUUAAGAACAAGAACGGAGCUGUUCGCCAAGGAGAUUCAACAGGUACACCCUAAGGCA
Branchiostoma floridae (Florida lancelet) is the source of this 311-nucleotide long non-coding RNA. RefSeq lists it as uncharacterized. Lineage: Eukaryota; Metazoa; Chordata; Leptocardii; Amphioxiformes; Branchiostomatidae. The record is from RefSeq and is a predicted model, not a curated record. The transcript is spliced from 3 exons.